UAAAAAUUCAUCAUACACAUAUUGUUUGAUUAAUACCACUUUCUUUGUUUUAUCUUCCCUGGUAAAAACCAUGGCGUUGUCCUUUGCCCAUUGUGUUGUUUGCUUAAUAAGUUGCCUUUGCGCUCUUACUUCAGUAUUACUUCUCGUCUGUUUUGUCUGUUGCGUUAAUUCCCUCACGUAUUGCCAUCUUAAUUUAUGCUUAUCUAAGGUUGGGGCUUGCAAGUCGGAUAAUAAUUCUUCUAUAUACGGUAUUUCCUCAGAUUGGUUGCUAGGUGCAAAAGUGGCACAUGAUGGUCCUUGCUCGAACAGACUUUGAACAAAGUGUGGGAGCUGUAUAUCUCCUAUCACUGAAUUAAAGAACACAGACGGGACAUCGCCUACACAGAAUUAAAGAACACCGAC
Molecule: long non-coding RNA, 402 nt
Filed under: Androctonus crassicauda
Lineage: Eukaryota; Metazoa; Arthropoda; Arachnida; Scorpiones; Buthidae
Source: RNAcentral